Molecule: microRNA, 22 nt
Filed under: Limulus polyphemus (Atlantic horseshoe crab)
Lineage: Eukaryota; Metazoa; Arthropoda; Merostomata; Xiphosura; Limulidae
Also listed under: 2 other names
Description: Lpo-Iab-4-P5_5p (mature (guide))
Source: RNAcentral
UCGUAUACUGAAUGUAUCCUGA